UACGUAGGGUGCAAGCGUUGUCCGGAAUUAUUGGGCGUAAAGAGCUCGUAGGCGGUCUGUCGCGUCUGCUGUGAAAACUCAGGGCUUAACCCUGAGCUUGCAGUGGGUACGGGCAGACUAGAGUGCGGUAGGGGAGACUGGAAUUCCUGGUGUAGCGGUGAAAUGCGCAGAUAUCGGGAGGAACGCCGGUGGCGAAGGCGGUUCUCUGGGCCGUAACUGACGCUGAGGAGCGAAAGCGUGGGAGCGAACAGG
This 252-nucleotide ribosomal RNA is filed under the name uncultured bacterium. RNAcentral describes it as "partial 16S ribosomal RNA". It matches the Rfam family "Bacterial small subunit ribosomal RNA", at positions 524 to 776 of the family's 1533-position model. The record is from RNAcentral.